RNAcentral lists this long non-coding RNA (352 nucleotides) under Salvia miltiorrhiza (redroot sage). RNAcentral's name for it is "long non-coding RNA (SMIL_LNC012787)". The record is from RNAcentral. Lineage: Eukaryota; Viridiplantae; Streptophyta; Magnoliopsida; Lamiales; Lamiaceae.
CCCACUAAAUCCUUGUUUAGACCAUCUAACAAGUUUUCUUCCUCCAUGUUGACUUUGUGGCUCUCAAAUCUUGUCAAGAUCUAAGUCAUAACGAUCUUGUUCUCUAUAGACCAAGUCUUUUCAAGAAACAUCGCAAUCCUAAAACCGUGAACUUAUAUUUUCCAAGAAAAUAGUAAUGUUCUCGUGUUUUCUUCGGAUGUCCCACAAAGUAACACUUCUCACUUUUGAUUCCAACUAGUCAGUGAGUAUUUUCUCUACAUAUGUAGUGUAACCCAAGGUUCACACAUGUGUAAACUAUGCUUCUUUCAAUACCACAAUCAUAUGAUAUUUACUCAACUAAUUCAAGUGGAAC